This 253-nucleotide ribosomal RNA is filed under the name uncultured bacterium. RNAcentral describes it as "partial 16S ribosomal RNA". It matches the Rfam family "Bacterial small subunit ribosomal RNA", at positions 524 to 776 of the family's 1533-position model. The record is from RNAcentral.
UACAGGGGGGGCAAGCGUUGUUCGGAAUUACUGGGCGUAAAGGGCGUGUAGGCGGCCAACUAAGUCCGACGUGAAAUCCCCAGGCUUAACCUGGGAACUGCGUCGGAUACUGGAUGGCUUGAAUCCGGGAGAGGGAUGCAGAAUUCCAGGUGUAGCGGUGAAAUGCGUAGAUAUUGGGAGGAACACCAGUGGCGAAGGCGGCUCUCUGGACCGGUACUGACGCUGAGACGCGAAAGCCAGGGGAGCAAACGGG